Molecule: ribosomal RNA, 243 nt
Filed under: Prevotella corporis
Lineage: Bacteria; Pseudomonadati; Bacteroidota; Bacteroidia; Bacteroidales; Prevotellaceae
Description: partial 23S ribosomal RNA
Rfam family: Bacterial large subunit ribosomal RNA
Source: RNAcentral
UGAAGGACGUGAUAAGCUGCGAUAAGCAUUGGGUAGGUGCAAAUAACCUUUGAUCCAGUGAUUUCCGAAUGGGACAACCCGGCUGUCUGAAGGACAGUCAUUACCAUCUUUUUGGUAAGGCGAACGCAGGGAACUGAAACAUCUUAGUACCUGCAGGAAGAGAAAAUAAUUCAAUGAUUCCCCCAGUAGUGGCGAGCGACCGGGGAACAGCCCAAACCCAUCCCGUAGCAAUGCGGGUUGGGG